Molecule: RNA transcript, 1224 nt
Organism: Oreochromis niloticus (Nile tilapia)
Lineage: Eukaryota; Metazoa; Chordata; Actinopteri; Cichliformes; Cichlidae
Gene name: CD209 antigen-like protein E
Exons: 10
Source: RefSeq, a predicted model, not a curated record
UAUUGUGAAACUUCUCUUUUAGAACUGUUAAUACACAGCAGCCACACACACACACAGCAAAAUGCCUGAAGCUGAGGUAGUAUACUCCGAUGUGAAGUUUGCAAGAGGAAAAAAGGGAGCCAGUGAGGCCGUUACCCCAUCGACUGACUCGACUUACUCUGAAAUCAAGAUCUCAAAGACUCAGCCAUCCACAGCACAGCUGUCUGAGGGUCCUCAACAAGCUGCAGUGAGCAAAGGGUCAAAGGUCACCUCAGAGAGAGUGGUCCUGGUGGUUCUCAGUGUUCUCCUGGCAGCUGCUCUCGUUGCUCUGUGUUUUACCACAUUUGAUAAAAGUAGAACUAACCAAGAGCUUGAAAAUCUGAAACUUGAAAAAACGAAGUGUGAAAGUAAUCUCACAGAGACUCUCUCUAAAAUAAAACCAUGCAGCACGGUGCAGCCGACCUGUCCAGGACCUACAGUAAUAGAUGAUCCUUGUUAUAAAUGUGAAGGAGGCUGGGAGCUACAUGGAGGAAAGUGCUAUUACUUCUCCAUCAGUAAAUCAUCCUGGAACCAGAGCAGAGAUGAGUGUAGAGCUAAAGGAGGAGACCUGGUUAAGAUAGAGAGCAGAGAGGAGCAGAGUUUCCUGGAGAGAAGACUGAGAGAUGUAAUGACUGAAGGCAGGGACAAGUUCUGGAUCGGACUGACAGACUCAGCAGAAGAGGGCAGAUGGGUGUGGGUGGAUGGAUCAUCACUGGAUCAAAGUUUGAAGUUUUGGAGUGGCAACGAGCCAGACAAUUGGAAAGGGCACAAUGGUAAACAUCCUGAUGGAGAGGACUGUGCGAGGAUGGGAGAAAAAGAGUGCCGGCGGUGCCAGGUCCAUCGGUGCCACCAUACCUUUUAUCAUGCCAUUACACUUUCUACUGACCAUCCUCCAAACAGGCAUCACCUUUUGUUUACACCUGAAACCAACCCCAACCCCAAGGGACUGUAAUGACACCUCCUAGAGGACUGCUCCAAUACAUAUAAAAACGGUCUCUUUCACCAUAUGGAACAUCAACAGCGCAACCUAAAGAACACCUCUAACUAGCUAACUAAGGAGUGCAGGAUGACGUCUGUAUCAACCAUGACGAGCAGCCUGGACAUCGCCCAAGCCACAGAAGCUCUAGAGCGAGACAUGCAAGCGUGGGACCUCUCAGACUCCCCACCGCCUGCGCUGCUAAUCCAGACCCCACCACCUCCUCCCCC